GCCACAGAUAAGAGACUCUCAACAGAGAGGUAGUUAAUGCCCUAUGAUCCUGCCAGCAAGUGACACUGGUCUGAAGUUCAUACUCAGGACUUUAAGUCUUAUAUGAAAACAAGAUAUAAAAGUCAAGAGCCAACCUAGAUGUUGGGUAAGAGUUCCUGAGUGGGGCCACCUGCCUGGGUGGAGUAAGCAACAGAAAAUCUGCCAUAUCCAAGCUAGUCAGGGAUUCCACUGUUCCUGCAGGAUCUGCAAGCUCUACAAAAGGCAACGAUUUAAAGUGCAACAGGCAACUAACAUCCAGGAGCUCUGGAGAGGAGCUCAGAAUAUCUUCCAUCCAGGAGCUCCGGAGAGGAGCUCAGAACAUCUUCCAUCCAGGAGCUCCGGAGAGGAGCUCAGAACAUCUUCCAUCCAGGAGCUCUGGAGAGGAGCUCAGAACAUCUUCCAUCCAGGAGCUCUGGAGAGGAGCUCAGAACAUCUUCCAUUCAGGAGCUCCAGAGAGGAGCUCAGAACAUCUUCCUGGCUGAGCCUCUUCCUUCACCUAACUUGGUAGAUGACUUCAUCUUACUCUGGGAUGUUCACGUCUGCCUCCGUAGCAGAUCUGAUGUCCUUUAUGUAGCAAGGUCACUCCUAUAAACUUCCCAGGCUCCAAAUCUGUCUGUUGAGCUUUUCUCAGCCUGGAAUUAUAAACGUGUCUUUGUUCUAUUACCCUCUCUUGAUGCCAAAGCCUCUACAUGUUCUAGGACUCAGUAUACCUGCUGUCUGUUGAGAUUGUAGGUCUUUAGUUUCUCAAUGGUCACACUUCAGCCUGAUCAGAGCUAUCCUGCUUUAUGUCAAAUCAUAACAAAUGAUGGAACAUGUUAUAUAUAACUACUACUGCUAUUAUAACACAUACAAUCUUAGAUGUGUGCUCUUAUAUAGUCAUGCUUCAUACAUGUUGUUAGUAGUUUUCACAUUAUGAAAUUGCUAUUAUCACCAGACAAUAUUAAAGCAUUGUUACAUGCAAAUA
Mastomys coucha (southern multimammate mouse) is the source of this 1003-nucleotide long non-coding RNA. RefSeq lists it as uncharacterized. The record is from RefSeq and is a predicted model, not a curated record. The transcript is spliced from 3 exons. NCBI's taxonomy places the organism in Eukaryota, Metazoa, Chordata, Mammalia, Rodentia, Muridae.